UUUAGCGCGGCCGCGCCCAGCAGAAGUGUCCCGGGCCGAUUUUUGAAGCUUUUCUGAUGGAUUUUAGCAGCGGUCGAGGCCCGGUUGACUUGGUCAAUGUAUUUUAAUUUCUCAUGUGAAAAACCCUAGCCUCCAAGUAGUUUUGUAUCGUAGAAUAUCGGAUUAUAGUUUUAUCAGUUUUUCUCUUGUAAUCAAGCACAUUAUCAGUUUUGU
This 213-nucleotide long non-coding RNA is filed under the name Daucus carota (carrot). RNAcentral describes it as "long non-coding RNA (DCAR_LNC003541)". Lineage: Eukaryota; Viridiplantae; Streptophyta; Magnoliopsida; Apiales; Apiaceae. The record is from RNAcentral.